Long non-coding RNA from Cuculus canorus (common cuckoo), 731 nucleotides. RefSeq lists it as uncharacterized. NCBI's taxonomy places the organism in Eukaryota, Metazoa, Chordata, Aves, Cuculiformes, Cuculidae. The transcript is spliced from 3 exons. The record is from RefSeq and is a predicted model, not a curated record.
UCUACCAGCAGCUCAUGGAGAGUGCUUCAGCACCACAGACCCCAUCCUACGCCACCGCCUUGCCCCACUGGGCAGCUAUGACAGCUAGGAUCUUAUCCUAUAUUUUAUUUUCUUCUGAUGACAGCUGUGAUCACCACUGUUGGCUCCAAUUUAUGAUUUCAACCAAUAAAACAAGAAUGGAGGACUGAGGAGAAGCUCACACCUCAGACUCUUCAAAUUUUCAUGAUUGUUUUAAAAAUUGGAAGGUUGGAAUUUUGAGAUUGAAGGACAUCUGACCUGUGAGCAUGAAGCUUUCAUGAAGGAUCUGUCUCUCAAGGAAACACCAGGCUUUCACAAGUUUGACGGUGUUGAGAGCAAGGAGUGUUCCUUCUAGUGACAGUAGCAUUAUGCCCAGAUAUCGCAACUGGUUGUACACUGGCCUCUCAAAAUAACAGCAAGCACAUGAAGGAAUUUGGCCUUCCAGUGUUUCUCCAGAGAUGUUGUCUGUAAAUUAUCCCAGAGAAGACUCCGCGGCUCAAAGUAGUUAGCCUGUAGUCUCACAUGUUUUAAAAAUGAGAUCUGAGCAUAUCUUACGUAGAUUGCAUAGCUUCAGGAUAUACAGGAACAUUGCUUAAUUAUGUGAUGGACUCAUGCCAAGACUCUCCCUUCUUUCUGCCACUCCAAAUCUGAAUAGAUACUUCAGAUCUCUCACUGUGGGUGAGUGUUGUAGCCUCCCAUGCUUAUAUAAAAGG